RNAcentral lists this ribosomal RNA (451 nucleotides) under uncultured bacterium. RNAcentral describes it as "bacterial SSU rRNA". It matches the Rfam family "Bacterial small subunit ribosomal RNA", at positions 29 to 524 of the family's 1533-position model. The record is from RNAcentral.
AGCGAACGCUGGCGGCAGGCCUAAUACAUGCAAGUCGAACGGUCUCUUCGGAGGCAGUGGCGGACGGGUGAGUAACGCGUGGGAAUAUGCCCUUUGGUACGGAACAACUGAGGGAAACUUCAGCUAAUACCGUAUGUGCCCUUCGGGGGAAAGAUUUAUCGCCAUUGGAGUAGCCCGCGUUGGAUUAGGUAGUUGGUGGGGUAAAGGCCUACCAAGCCUACGAUCCAUAGCUGGUCUGAGAGGAUGAUCAGCCACACUGGGACUGAGACACGGCCCAGACUCCUACGGGAGGCAGCAGUAGGGAAUCUUGCGCAAUGGGCGAAAGCCUGACGCAGCCAUGCCGCGUGAAUGAUGAAGGUCUUAGGAUUGUAAAAUUCUUUCACCGGGGGAAGAUAAUGACGGUACCCGGAGAAGAAGCCCCGGCUAACUUCGUGCCAGCAGCCGCGGUAAU